UGCAGUCGNNCGGCAGCACGGAGCUUGCUCUGGUGGCGAGUGGCGAACGGGUGAGUAAUGCGUCGGAACGUAUCCAAUAAUGGGGGAUAACGCAGCGAAAGCUGUGCUAAUACCGCAUACGCCCUCCGGGGGAAAGCAGGGGAUCGUAAGACCUUGCGUUAAUGGAGCGGCCGACGUCUGAUUAGCUAGUUGGUAGGGUAAAGGCCUACCAAGGCGACGAUCAGUAGCUGGUCUGAGAGGAUGAUCAGCCACACUGGGACUGAGACACGGCCCAGACUCCUACGGGAGGCAGCAGUGGGGAAUUUUGGACAAUGGGCGCAAGCCUGAUCCAGCCAUUCCGCGUGAGUGAAGAAGGCCUUCGGGUUGUAAAGCUCUUUCAGGAGGGAAGAAACGAUUGUGGCUAAUACCCAUGAUUAAUGACGGUACCUUCAGAAGAAGCACCGGCUAACUACGUGCCAGCAGCCGCGGUAAUACGUAGGGUGCGAGCGUUAAUCGGAAUUACUGGGCGUAAAGCGUGCGCAGGCGGUUUUUCAAGUCUGAUGUGAAAUCCCCGGGCUUAACCUGGGAACUGCGUUGGAAACUGAAAGACUAGAGUGCGGCAGAGGGGGGUAGAAUUCCACGUGUAGCAGUGAAAUGCGUAGAUAUGUGGAGGAAUACCGAUGGCGAAGGCAGCCCCCUGGGUCGACACUGACGCUCAUGCACGAAAGCGUGGGUAGCAAACAGGAUUAGAUACCCUGGUAGUCCACGCCCUAAACGAUGUCAACUAGUUGUUGGGGAGGGAGACCUCCUUAGUAACGCAGCUAACGCGUGAAGUUGACCGCCUGGGGAGUACGGUCGCAAGAUUAAAACUCAAAGGAAUUGACGGGGGCCCGCACAAGCGGUGGAUUAUGUGGAUUNAUUCGAUGCNACGCGAAAAAC
This 918-nucleotide ribosomal RNA is filed under the name uncultured bacterium. Its description in RNAcentral is "bacterial SSU rRNA". It matches the Rfam family "Bacterial small subunit ribosomal RNA", at positions 56 to 969 of the family's 1533-position model. The record is from RNAcentral.